CCUACGGGAGGCUGCAGUGAGGAAUAUUGGGCAAUGCCCGCAAGGGUGACCCAGCAACGCCGCGUGGAGGAUGAAGGCCGUAAGGUUGUAAACUCCUGUUAGAGGAGAAGAAUAGUACCGAUUGGAUCGGUAUUUGACUGUACCCUCAGAGAAAGCCCCGGCUAACUACGUGCCAGCAGCCGCGGUAAUACGUAGGGGGCAAGCGUUGUCCGGAGUUACUGGCGCGCAGGCGCGAUCGGAAGUGAGAGGUGAAAGCCUACAGCUUAACUGUAGAACGGCCUUUGAUACUGUUAUUCUUGAGUUCGGGAGAGAGAGACGGAAUUCCAGGUGUAGUGGUGAAAUACGUAGAUAUCUGGAAGAACACCAGUUGCGAAGGCGGUCUCUUGGUCCGAUACUGACGCUGAGGCGCGAAAGCGUGGGGAGCAAACAGGAUUAGAUACCCUAGUAGUC
RNAcentral lists this ribosomal RNA (450 nucleotides) under uncultured bacterium. RNAcentral describes it as "partial 16S ribosomal RNA". It matches the Rfam family "Bacterial small subunit ribosomal RNA", at positions 338 to 795 of the family's 1533-position model. The record is from RNAcentral.